Molecule: transfer RNA, 64 nt
Filed under: Paragonimus westermani
Lineage: Eukaryota; Metazoa; Platyhelminthes; Trematoda; Plagiorchiida; Troglotrematidae
Description: tRNA-Ser
Rfam family: tRNA
About the family: Transfer RNA (tRNA) molecules are approximately 80 nucleotides in length. Their secondary structure includes four short double-helical elements and three loops (D, anti-codon, and T loops).
Source: RNAcentral
GGCUUCGUAGCUCAGCUGGUAGAGCGCUUGCCGACUGUUACUGGUUCGAAUCCAGCCGAAGCCC